Molecule: ribosomal RNA, 465 nt
Filed under: uncultured bacterium
Lineage: Bacteria
Description: partial 16S ribosomal RNA
Rfam family: Bacterial small subunit ribosomal RNA
Source: RNAcentral
GACGAACGCUGGCGGCGUGCUUAAUACAUGCAAGUCGAACGGAAAGGCCCCUUUGGGGGUACUCGAGUGGCGAACGGGUGAGUAACACGUGAGUAACCUGCCCUUGACUUCGGGAUAACUUCAGGAAACUGGGGCUAAUACCGGAUAGGAAUCCUUGCUGCAUGGUGGGGGUUGGAAAGCUUCGGCGGUUUUGGAUGGACUCGCGGCCUAUCAGCUUGUUGGUGGGGUAGUGGCUUACCAAGGCUUUGACGGGUAGCCGGCCUGAGAGGGCGACCGGCCACAUUGGGACUGAGAUACGGCCCAGACUCCUACGGGAGGCAGCAGUGGGGAAUAUUGCACAAUGGGCGGAAGCCUGAUGCAGCAACGCCGCGUGCGGGAUGACGGCCUUCGGGUUGUAAACCGCUUUCAGCAGGGGCGAAGCUUGUGGUGACGGUACCUGCAGAAGAAGCACCGGCUAACUACGUG